GAUGAACGCUGGCGGCGUGCCUAAUACAUGCAAGUAGAACGCUGAAGGAGGAGCUUGCUCUUUCCGGAUGAGUUGCGAACGGGUGAGUAACGCGUAGGUAACCUGCCUGGUAGCGGGGGAUAACUAUUGGAAACGAUAGCUAAUACCGCAUAACAGUAGAUAUUGCAUGAUAUUUGCUUGAAAGGGGCAAUUGCUCCACUACCAGAUGGACCUGCGUUGUAUUAGCUAGUUGGUGAGGUAACGGCUCACCAAGGCGACGAUACAUAGCCGACCUGAGAGGGUGAUAGGCCACACUGGGACUGAGACACGGCCCAGACUCCUACGGGAGGCAGCAGUAGGGAAUCUUCGGCAAUGGACGGAAGUCUGACCGAGCAACGCCGCGUGAGUGAAGAAGGUUUUCGGAUCGUAAAGCUCUGUUGUAAGAGAAGAACGAGUGUGAGAGUGGAAAGUUCACACUGUGACGGUAUCUUACCAGAAAGGGACGGCUAACUACGUG
Molecule: ribosomal RNA, 496 nt
Filed under: uncultured bacterium
Lineage: Bacteria
Description: partial 16S ribosomal RNA
Rfam family: Bacterial small subunit ribosomal RNA
Source: RNAcentral